GACGAACGCUGGCGGCGUGCUUAACACAUGCAAGUCGAACGGAAAGGCCCUGCUUUUGUGGGGUGCUCGAGUGGCGAACGGGUGAGUAACACGUGAGUAACCUGCCCUUGACUUUGGGAUAACUUCAGGAAACUGGGGCUAAUACCAGAUAGGAGCUCCUGCCGCAUGGUGGGGGGUGGAAAUUUUCGGCGGUUGGGGAUGGACUCGCGGCUUAUCAGCUUGUUGGUGGGGUAGUGGCUUACCAAGGCUUUGACGGGUAGCCGGCCUGAGAGGGUGACCGGCCACAUUGGGACUGAGAUACGGCCCAGACUCCUACGGGAGGCAGCAGUGGGGAAUAUUGCACAAUGGGCGGAAGCCUGAUGCAGCAACGCCGCGUGCGGGAUGACGGCCUUCGGGUUGUAAACCGCUUUCGCCUGUGACGAAGCGUGAGUGACGGUAAUGGGUAAAGAAGCACCGGCUAACUACGUG
This 468-nucleotide ribosomal RNA is filed under the name uncultured bacterium. RNAcentral's name for it is "partial 16S ribosomal RNA". It matches the Rfam family "Bacterial small subunit ribosomal RNA", at positions 28 to 507 of the family's 1533-position model. The record is from RNAcentral.